AUGAAUGAGGGUUGCAACCGCGAGGCAACGCUCAAAUAUGGCAGUCAUCCCAAGAUCUGCAUGGACGAACGUUGCCUACCCUCUGAAUAGUUAAUGCACUAUGGCACAGAUUCAGUAAGUAUUUCCUGGAAAAAAAAGCAUAAUAGAGGUUUGGUUGUUUAAGAAACGUAACCCAUUGUUUCAACUGCCACGCCAGAGGUGGCAUCGAAACAGCAACCUCUAAAAUAAACAUGGAUACUUUGAAGAACAAGCUAAUUAACUAUAAUUCCCCAAAUAAAGGCAUUCCUGCCAACAUCUUGCUGCUGGGAAGGUCUGGCCAUGGAAAGUCAAGCUUAAUCAACACUUGGGAAACGGCAAUAAGUGAUCGAAUUAGAUCACGUGCAGUAACGGCUUCGACCAAGGGUUCAAGUACAACUCAACAUUUUCUAAAGUAUCAACUUACAUCGUUUCAAAACCAAAAGGAAACACCAAUUAACGUAAAUGUCAUGGACACCAUCGGAUGGGAACCUCAGACAUUCACAUUUGAAAUGUUUAACAAGAUUCUCAAUGGUCAGAUUGAAGAUAAACAAAGUUUUUCUGACAAGACAGAAAUGACGUCUGAACCAAGGAACAAGGUGCAUUGCGUGGCCUACGUCGCUGAUCUGAAUCAAUUUCAAAAUGUGGAAUUAGAUGACUUGGAGAUUUUUAAGAGAUUUGGGAAGUAUGCACGUCAAAAAAAGAAUAUCAACACGUUCGUUAUAAUUACCAAAGUAGAUGUGUGUUUACCUGAGGGAACAUCAAUUAGUGACAUCUACAAAGUAAAGAACAUUGAGACGAUGAUGAAAGAAAUAUGCUCAGCUUUAGAAUGCGAUGAGAAGUUCGUCUUCCCAAUGACAAACUAUCGCGACUGCAUGAACGUGAACACCAACACAAAUAUCCUCGCCUUGUCCCUCCUGAACGCUCUCGUUGACGCCGCCUCUGAUUUCAUAUGCGAUAAUAACGACGGCAGCAAGUUAAAUUAAACAAACUCCCACUCCACAUUAGCCUCUCACCCUUACUUAUUUCCUGUCGCUCAGCCCUCAGGUGCUUUCUCCUUUCCAUUGCUUUUCUAUUCCACUGUAUCCACCCUACCGGUUUAUUCUCUCGCCUCAGUUCCACUCCCAGGUCCCCCAGUCCUCUUCCUCCUAUGACCCCAAUUCCUGGCCGGGCUCCCACGUUUCGCUUUCUCUAUGCACACCUAACCCCAUCUCUUCUCCGGCUCUAACGCGGUUCUUCUCAUUCAGCUCAACUCUCCGGCAUCAGACACUCUGCCCCUAUCACCCUUCACCUACCCUCGUCCAUGCCCAUUUUACUACUGCAUGCAUGUGCCACAUGCUCCGCUGCCUCUCAUCCACGUUGCACCAAUCAGACGCUCUCACCAUCAGACCUUAUUCUCACUUACCUACCGCAGAAACAUCAGCCCCUGUCCUUCCAUACAUUCCAUCACUCCACUGAUAGCUGCUCCACCCCACUCGUUACUCCAUUUACCCCGUGUGUACCUACGUUGGCUUGCAUUGUAAAGCGCCCUGGAAAGGGCUCUGCCAUGUAAAUACUUACUAGAACAUAAUGUUCUACUGUGCUAAGAAACAGCAUGCUAUGCAGUGGAUUUAGAAAAUGUCGAAAUGAGAUGUGGUAAAAAAACAAUUGCUCGGAUAUUACUGUGCAUCUCGAUGAAAGCUUGUAGAAUCAAUAGGUGUAACUACAUGUUGAUCUGCAUGUGACUUAGAAAUGUCUGACGAUAAUGAAUAUUAAUCUACAGUUUCAGCAUUCAAAGAUGUCACUUGAAACCUACUGCAUGCGAAUUAGGAUUUAUAAUUACGGGAUGUACCCUUUUUCCUGAAGAGAUGUGGUUAUUAUGAGGCCUCCCUCCACUGCAAAUAUCUAGAAUCAUCUCACUGUUGCUUCUGAAUUUAAUGUAUCUUCAAUUCGAAUUAUAACUAAUCUGCAUCGUUGAGGUAUGGGUUUAUUGUCUUAAGGAGAUGUGACAAUGUCGUGAAUCUGCGUAACUCCACGUCGGCCUUCAAUGAACGUACGUUAGCGCCACCACCUUCAUUGUGAAGAAGCAAACUAUAUUCUGCUAGUUUGUUGGUGUACUUACAACAACAUUACGGCAUUACUGGGGUAUUGGUUACAGGUAGAGUAAUUGAUUAGUACAAUAAUUAAAAUAACUGUGAGUGAUUGGUAAUUGAUUGUGUGCUCUGCACACGGUGACAAAAUAGCACCUGGACAAAGCUUUAGAAUUGACAGUCUGCAUGUCCAAAUCAACUGUUGUCACUGUGUAAUAUAGCUCUCAGAGACACUGUCUUGUUCUUUCCGUACAUUUAUUUGGAAUAAAGUCCAUUCACAACUUAA
Molecule: long non-coding RNA, 2370 nt
Organism: Petromyzon marinus (sea lamprey)
Lineage: Eukaryota; Metazoa; Chordata; Hyperoartia; Petromyzontiformes; Petromyzontidae
Source: RefSeq, a predicted model, not a curated record